CUAAUCCGAAAAGCACAAACAGAUCGAGAGAUGACUCUCCUCUCAAGAUCUGUAAAAGCACCACCACCAGCAGCAAUAGCAGCAUGAAAAUCCCUGGAUAAGGCACCUAGACAUCUACUCUAUAUAUAUACAUACAGAGAUAAUAUAUAUAUAUAUAUAUAGAAAGAGAGGAAGAUCUAAGGUAUAAAUAGUAUAUGUAGAGUGAGAAAAAACAGAAGAAGAAGAAGAAGGAGAAGAUGGAAGAUACCUGGAGAGUAGAGGGAUAGGCUUUCUCCCCUGCUUUGCCUAUUGGCUUUUGUUUUGUUUCUUUCCUGUUAUGUGUUUG
This 325-nucleotide long non-coding RNA is filed under the name Manihot esculenta (cassava). Its description in RNAcentral is "long non-coding RNA (MESC_LNC001876)". Lineage: Eukaryota; Viridiplantae; Streptophyta; Magnoliopsida; Malpighiales; Euphorbiaceae. The record is from RNAcentral.